AUUGAACGCUGGCGGCAUGCCUUACACAUGCAAGUCGAACGGCAGCACGGGUGCUUGCACCUGGUGGCGAGUGGCGAACGGGUGAGUAAUACAUCGGAACAUGUCCUGUAGUGGGGGAUAGCCCGGCGAAAGCCGGAUUAAUACCGCAUACGAUCUACGGAUGAAAGCGGGGGCCCUUCGGGCCUCGCGCUAUAGGGUUGGCCGAUGGCUGAUUAGCUAGUUGGUGGGGUAAAGGCCUACCAAGGCGACGAUCAGUAGCAGGUCGGAGAGGAGGACCAGCCACACUGGAGAUGAGAACCGGUCCAGACUCCUACGGGAGGAAGCAGUAGGGAAUGUUGCGCAAUGGGCGGAAGCUUGACGGAGCAACGCCGCGGGAGUGAGGAAGGGCGUCGGAUCGUAAAACGCGGUUAUUAGGGAAGAACAAAUGUGUAAGGAACUAUGCACGGCUUGACGGUACCUAAUCAGAAAGCCACGGCUAACUACGUG
This 486-nucleotide ribosomal RNA is filed under the name uncultured bacterium. Its description in RNAcentral is "partial 16S ribosomal RNA". It matches the Rfam family "Bacterial small subunit ribosomal RNA", at positions 29 to 507 of the family's 1533-position model. The record is from RNAcentral.